GUGGCGUAGCAAACACACCACGGAGCACAAUGUCCACAGGCCAAUGAUUAGAGUCUGUCCUGUCAGGACUGGUUAGAGACUGGGUCUCAGGUAAGGCAGGCAGAGGUGAAUCAGAGGGAGUUUAUAUUUAAAGAUCACAGCUAGAGUAUUUGUGUUUCCCUCCAGGUAGAGUUAACACACUUGUUCAUUUAGUGUCAUGAGAACAAAGUCAUUAAACACUAUAGACUUUCUUUUCCUUACGCCAGAUGGGGUCAUAAUUUCACUGAAGCAGGUACGGGGAUGACAGCAGCCACACGAACUGCUAACUGGCAGACCACUCUAAGGGACUUUUUCUUCUCAGCAAUUUACACAUCCACUGUUGUCUCCAAGCCCUUCCUUCCUGGCUACUCAAUACCCUCUGUGUGACUUUCCCUCCCUUCAGCUGUCCCCAGCUAGGCUAGGGGACAGGCAAGCUCUGGAAGCCACAGAGGGAAGCCCCUUUGGUCCUAUCUUCAUUCAGUCCUGGAGACAAGGAACAAAGGCCUCCUCUUCCUCUCACUUCCUCGGACAUUUCUGCUGCCAAUGUGAAGCCCCAAUGUAUCUGUUGUCAUCGGAGGGAACACAAAGACUGGAACAACUGUCGUGGAGUAUUUCAAAGGAGGCUUUCUUGGAAGAACAUGAAAGAGAACAAACUCAACAGAAAAGAACGGCUCAGUCUGAGUACCUACUUGGACGAAGGUUGUGAAGGUUGGGAACGGGAAUGACCCUCGUGACCCACAGGUGCCUCGGUGUCAGGAAGCACACAGAAUGCCAACCAGAAAGAGAGGUCAGGGAUGGGA
This 818-nucleotide long non-coding RNA is filed under the name Rattus norvegicus (Norway rat). RNAcentral describes it as "long non-coding RNA NONRATT033470". The record is from RNAcentral. Lineage: Eukaryota; Metazoa; Chordata; Mammalia; Rodentia; Muridae.